UUCUUCUACACUUCUAAUCUAUAAAGAUUUUGUUUGUUUAUUUUGAUUUUAAUCAAACUCGUAAACUCUUAAUUCACCAUGUCUGAUUCUUCUUCACCUCCAAUGCUUAUAUAUAAUAAUUGUUUUUCAAUUGAUAACUUGAAUUCUUCUAAGCUUGGAGGAUGUUACCAACAAUAACAACAGGUCUAUCACCAAGAGGACACCUUUUUCACCUAGGUAUACAACUUAAAUUUUAUUUUUUUGUUAUUUCAACAUAUAUAUAUAUAAUAUAUAUAUCGUCAAAAUCAAAUCACUCUCUCUCCAAUAUUACAAUUUGUAUUGCUCUCUUUGUUUUUAUAUUCAACUAUCUCUAAAAUUUUCACUCUCUAAUAUAUUUCAUGGAUUCUAGCGCUGAGAAGAAAUCAAAGGGUUGGAAAGAAUCUUUCGAAAAAGGAUGGGAUAGAUGAGAAGAAAAGAAGGCC
This 461-nucleotide long non-coding RNA is filed under the name Solanum tuberosum (potato). RNAcentral's name for it is "long non-coding RNA (STUB_LNC008643)". Lineage: Eukaryota; Viridiplantae; Streptophyta; Magnoliopsida; Solanales; Solanaceae. The record is from RNAcentral.